UGAGGAAUAUUGCGCAAUGGGGGAAACCCUGACGCAGCGACGCCGCGUGAGUGAGGAAGGCCUUCGGGUCGUAAAGCUCUGUCAAGAGGGAAGAAGUGCAUGGCAGUUAAUACCUGUCAUGUUUGACGGUACCUCUAAAGGAAGCACCGGCUAACUCCGUGCCAGCAGCCGCGGUAAUACGGAGGGUGCAAGCGUUGUUCGGAAUUACUGGGCGUAAAGGGCGCGCAGGCGGCCUGCCAAGUCAGAUGUGAAAUGCCAUGGCUUAACCAUGGACGUGCAUUUGAAACUGGUGGGCUUGAGUACCAGAGGGGAAGGUGGAAUUCCCGGUGUAGAGGUGAAAUUCGUAGAUAUCGGGAGGAAUACCGGUGGCGAAGGCGACUUUCUGGCUGGAUACUGACGCUGAGGCGCGAAAGCGUGGGGAGCAAACAGG
This 430-nucleotide ribosomal RNA is filed under the name uncultured bacterium. RNAcentral describes it as "bacterial SSU rRNA". It matches the Rfam family "Bacterial small subunit ribosomal RNA", at positions 355 to 776 of the family's 1533-position model. The record is from RNAcentral.